AUACGGAGGGUGCAAGCGUUAUCCGGAUUUAUUGGGUUUAAAGGGUGCGCAGGCGGACCUGUCAGUCAGUGGUGAAAUCCCGGGGCUCAACCCCGGAACUGCCAUUGAUACUACAGGUCUUGAAUACGGUUGAAGUAGGCGGAAUGUAGCAUGUAGCGGUGAAAUGCAUAGAUAUGCUACAGAACACCGAUCGCGAAGGCAGCUUACUAAGCCGAUAUUGACGCUCAGGCACGAAAGCGUGGGGAGCAAACAGGAUGAGAAACCCUAGUAGUCCC
Molecule: ribosomal RNA, 275 nt
Filed under: uncultured bacterium
Lineage: Bacteria
Description: partial 16S ribosomal RNA
Rfam family: Bacterial small subunit ribosomal RNA
Source: RNAcentral